RNAcentral lists this ribosomal RNA (336 nucleotides) under Vibrio parahaemolyticus. RNAcentral's name for it is "bacterial SSU rRNA". It matches the Rfam family "Bacterial small subunit ribosomal RNA", at positions 112 to 451 of the family's 1533-position model. Lineage: Bacteria; Pseudomonadati; Pseudomonadota; Gammaproteobacteria; Vibrionales; Vibrionaceae. The record is from RNAcentral.
AAUGCCUAGGAAAUUGCCCUGAUGUGGGGGAUAACCAUUGGAAACGAUGGCUAAUACCGCAUGAUGCCUACGGGCCAAAGAGGGGGACCUUCGGGCCUCUCGCGUCAGGAUAUGCCUAGGUGGGAUUAGCUAGUUGGUGAGGUAAGGGCUCACCAAGGCGACGAUCCCUAGCUGGUCUGAGAGGAUGAUCAGCCACACUGGAACUGAGACACGGUCCAGACUCCUACGGGAGGCAGCAGUGGGGAAUAUUGCACAAUGGGCGCAAGCCUGAUGCAGCCAUGCCGCGUGUGUGAAGAAGGCCUUCGGGUUGUAAAGCACUUUCAGUCGUGAGGAAGG